CCCUAUAAAAGGCCUCAAAAGCUUGUUUGUGCUUUUUUCCCCCCCUCAGACACGAAAACAUCCGUGGAGCUCAAGUUUGAGGUGAAAGCAGGCUCAGAGUCCACCUGUCCUCGCUGAUCCAUGGAUUUCUGUGUGACCAGCUUUGGGGCACAACCUGAAGACCCUCACAGUCACCUUCCCCAUCUCCACCCUCUGGUAUUCAUCAGACAGGAGCAACAGCUCAGCCACGUUCAACUCCACUGAGAGGGUCCUGCAGAGCCUGGGGAGACCCUGGUUCCAGCAGCUCCUGGCCUGAGAAGGAUGGGGAGCCA
This is a long non-coding RNA of Diceros bicornis minor, 311 nucleotides long. RefSeq lists it as uncharacterized. The transcript has 3 exons. The record is from RefSeq and is a predicted model, not a curated record. NCBI's taxonomy places the organism in Eukaryota, Metazoa, Chordata, Mammalia, Perissodactyla, Rhinocerotidae.